Molecule: ribosomal RNA, 253 nt
Filed under: uncultured bacterium
Lineage: Bacteria
Description: partial 16S ribosomal RNA
Rfam family: Bacterial small subunit ribosomal RNA
Source: RNAcentral
UACGUAGGUGGCGAACGUUGUCCGGAAUCACUGGGCGUAAAGGGCGCGUAGGUGGCGCGGGCAGUCAACGGUGAAAGUUCGGGGCUCAACCCUGAAUCGGCCGUCGAUACUCCCGGGCUUGAGCACUGUAGAGGCAGAUGGAAUUCCGGGUGUAGCGGUGGAAUGCGUAGAGAUCCGGAAGAACACCGGUGGCGAAGGCGGUCUGCUGGGCAGUAGCUGACACUGAGGCGCGACAGCGUGGGGAGCAAACAGG